Molecule: ribosomal RNA, 253 nt
Filed under: uncultured bacterium
Lineage: Bacteria
Description: partial 16S ribosomal RNA
Rfam family: Bacterial small subunit ribosomal RNA
Source: RNAcentral
UACAGAGGUCUCAAGCGUUGUUCGGAAUCACUGGGCGUAAAGGGUGCGUAGGCCGCGCGGAAAGUCAGAGGUGAAAUCCCGGAGCUCAACUUCGGAAUUGCCUCCGAUACUCCCGUGCUUGAGGACUGGAGAGGAGUCUGGAAUUCACAGUGGAGCAGUGAAAUGCGUAGAUAUUGUGAGGAACACUAGUGGCGAAGGCGAGACUCUGGACAGUUCCUGACGCUGAGGCACGAAGGCCAGGGGAGCAAACGGG